This 254-nucleotide ribosomal RNA is filed under the name uncultured bacterium. RNAcentral describes it as "partial 16S ribosomal RNA". It matches the Rfam family "Bacterial small subunit ribosomal RNA", at positions 524 to 776 of the family's 1533-position model. The record is from RNAcentral.
UACAGAGGUCUCAAGCGUUUGUUCGGAUUCAUUGGGCGUAAAGGGUGCGUAGGCGGCGCGGUAAGUCGGGUGUGAAAUUUCGAGGCUUAACUUCGAAACUGCAUUCGAUACUGCCGUGCUAGAGGACUGGAGAGGAGACUGGAAUUUACGGUGUAGCGGUGAAAUGCGUAGAUAUCGUAAGGAAGACCAGUGGCGAAGGCGGGUCUCUGGACAGUUCCUGACACUGAGGCACGAAGGCCAGGGGAGCAAACGGG